UAUUCAUUUUAUAUCAAUUCUAGUCAAAACUUUAUACAAAUCAUGUCAAAUUCUAGCCUAUUUUAUCGUUCCAUUUCUUGUCAAUUAUAGCCAUUUGAAUCAAUACAAUCCCAAAUCCAAUCUCUCCAUCUUAACCGUUCAUCUAAUCAAGAUCGAUGGACAAGAUUAAAUCUUACAUCGUUUCCCUUUAAUUUCCCAAAAACCCCCCCACACAAACCCUAUUCUCUAUUCUCUCAUCUUCUCAAAGGGAAGAAGACCACACCGCCUCUCUCUCCCUCACCCUCACCCUCACCCUCACCCUCACCCUCACCAUCACCAUCACCAUCACCGUCGUCGCCCCUCCAUUUCCGGCGAGAUAACCACCAGAAAACUCCCUAGACCGCAGCACAGCCUCCUUCACUCUCCCUCUUCACAAGAAAAAGAGAAGCCGCCGCCUCUCUCCUCCAUUCUCUCCCCUCUUCUCUCUACCUCCUCUCCACGCCGCUGCUCCACCUCCGGCGAGAACCACACACCACCUUCCCCUCUUCUCUCUACUCUUCUUCUCUUUCCUUUGGAAAAUGAGAUCCGCCGAUCUCUCUCCCUCACCACAUAGACCCUCCGCCGAUCUCCUCCUCCCUCACGCCGCAUACCACUCUCUCCAUGCCGGUGGACCACCACCAAACCAUCGCCGCCCCAUUCUCCUCCACUCUCAGUCGCAGCCGGUGAUACCACCACCGCCGCCACCGCCUCCAAGAGACGAGCUCUCCUCACCAUCAUGCAACCACACCGUCUCCAUUUCCCAUCCUCUUCUCCUCCGUGUCCGGCUAGAUACAACAACCACCACAGCGAGCCACUAACGACGACAGCCAGGAGCGAAGUUCAGCGAGGCUAGCAAUGCCAGUGACAACGACGAAAAUAAUCGGAUUGACCGAAAACUUCAAGUUGUCACUUUGAUUGAUGAAAGAUCUUUACAGAUCCGUCACGGUUUUGAACUCAAGACACGAAGAGUUCGCCUGUACAGGGAAGCCAAAAUUUUAUUGUUUUAUUUUAAAUCUUUUGUUUAUAAAUUGUAUUACUUUAUUUACUUGCUUCUCUAUUCGAAUUUGUAAUAAUUUUUGUAAACACACUCUAUAUUAUAAAAUAACUCGGGGGACUAUCUAAGGGGGAGAGGAAUCAAUGUGCUACCUGCAUUUAUUUUAAAUUUAACUUAUCUGUGUGUA
This is a long non-coding RNA of Solanum dulcamara, 1199 nucleotides long. RefSeq lists it as uncharacterized. NCBI's taxonomy places the organism in Eukaryota, Viridiplantae, Streptophyta, Magnoliopsida, Solanales, Solanaceae. The transcript has 2 exons. The record is from RefSeq and is a predicted model, not a curated record.